Molecule: ribosomal RNA, 253 nt
Filed under: uncultured bacterium
Lineage: Bacteria
Description: partial 16S ribosomal RNA
Rfam family: Bacterial small subunit ribosomal RNA
Source: RNAcentral
UACGUAGGUGGCGAGCGUUGUCCGGAAUUACUGGGCGUAAAGGGCGCGUAGGCGGGAUAGCAAGUCUGUUGUGAAAUUGCGGGGCUCAACCCCGUAUUGGCAAUGGAAACUGCUAUUCUUGAGUGCAGGAGAGGAAAGCGGAAUUCCCAGUGUAGCGGUGAAAUGCGUAGAUAUUGGGAGGAACACCAGUGGCGAAGGCGGCUUUCUGGCCUGUGUCUGACGCUGAGGCGCGAAAGCCAGGGGAGCGAACGGG